UACGUAGGGGGCAAGCGUUGUCCGGAAUUAUUGGGCGUAAAGAGCGUGUAGGCGGCCAGAUAAGUCCGCUGUGAAAUCUCGAGGCUCAACUUCGAGCUGUCGGUGGAAACUAUCUGGCUAGAGUCCGGAAGAGGAGAAUGGAAUUCCUGGUGUAGCGGUGAAAUGCGCAGAUAUCAGGAAGAACACCCGUGGCGAAGGCGGAUCUCUGGGCCUGUCCUGACGCUCAGGCGCGAAAGCUAGGGGAGCAAACAGG
Molecule: ribosomal RNA, 253 nt
Filed under: uncultured bacterium
Lineage: Bacteria
Description: partial 16S ribosomal RNA
Rfam family: Bacterial small subunit ribosomal RNA
Source: RNAcentral